Zonotrichia leucophrys gambelii is the source of this 821-nucleotide long non-coding RNA. RefSeq lists it as uncharacterized. The transcript has 3 exons. The record is from RefSeq and is a predicted model, not a curated record. NCBI's taxonomy places the organism in Eukaryota, Metazoa, Chordata, Aves, Passeriformes, Passerellidae.
GUUUCUUGGCUGUGCUGUGAAGAAGGAGUCAGUGCUGUGAGGAACUGCCUAUGAGAAAUCACUGAGAAGGUAGAGCAUAAUGAGAACAGAAAAUAGUACAAUAUUAAUCCAUCCUUGUGACAAACCUUGCAAGAAGCUGAGGAAACUGCUAGCAGCUUAUCUUAGAACGUCACUUCCAUGAUGCAAGACCAGCACACUACCUUAAAAUGGAAAGGUUUAUGUGAAAAUAGGAAGGCUGGUUCUUACUGGCUAAGUUUGUGUCACCAGAUCUAAAAGCAUUUUCCUUCUUUUGCUUCAGGUAUAUGACCUGGUUUUAUCAAGGUAAAUGAAGGUGUAUCCCCCACCCCACUGCACACUGCAGUCCCCUGCCCCAUUACCCAUCAAUGGAAAUGGCACCACAGAUGUGGUAUUUUUGAAAAUCAGAUCCCUUGACUGAUACUGGUUAUAUGUCUAAUAGGUAAAGCAUUUUAAUGAUUCUGUUAUUAAAGUUCAGAGACAGACCUUUUAUCAAGCAUGCCGGAGCUUUCAUCAUGUUUGGCUAAGAUACUCUUUGAUUGCACUGAACAUUAUUUUUAAGAAGGCUCCCCUUUGCCACAUUCAUGAAUUUCCUAUGAUCCACAGAACAGGAGUAUUUGAGAUAAGCCUACAUAUAGGCUACACAUACAGAAAAUCCACCUAUUUUCAUUUCUUUUAUGCUUUGCCUUCUUUCAUAAAGUGGUGGUCAAGUAAUUGGAAAGUAUACAUAGCUGAAGAUCUUUAAUUACUUCCUGAUAAAUAACUUAUUUUUUAAAAUUUUGCUAUCCUAUUUCAAAAAGACUGCA